CCCCUCUCAGGAUCGCACCUGGAGAGUUUCCAGCACUCUACCAGUCUCGGCUACGAGAGGGAGAGUCGAGCCGAGGCCUGUCUGUUCCAUUCCUAGCUUGGCCAGUGGCUAGCGAGUGGAAGCCCAUCUGCUACAAGU
Ornithorhynchus anatinus (platypus) is the source of this 138-nucleotide small nucleolar RNA. Lineage: Eukaryota; Metazoa; Chordata; Mammalia; Monotremata; Ornithorhynchidae. The record is from RefSeq and is a predicted model, not a curated record.